RNAcentral lists this ribosomal RNA (564 nucleotides) under Klebsiella pneumoniae. RNAcentral's name for it is "partial 23S ribosomal RNA". It matches the Rfam family "Bacterial large subunit ribosomal RNA", at positions 398 to 965 of the family's 2925-position model. The record is from RNAcentral. Lineage: Bacteria; Pseudomonadati; Pseudomonadota; Gammaproteobacteria; Enterobacterales; Enterobacteriaceae.
UGUGAACUCGAAGAGUAGGGCGGGACACGUGGUAUCCUGUCUGAAUAUGGGGGGACCAUCCUCCAAGGCUAAAUACUCCUGACUGACCGAUAGUGAACCAGUACCGUGAGGGAAAGGCGAAAAGAACCCCGGCGAGGGGAGUGAAAAAGAACCUGAAACCGUGUACGUACAAGCAGUGGGAGCACCUUCGGGUGUGACUGCGUACCUUUUGUAUAAUGGGUCAGCGACUUAUAUUCUGUAGCAAGGUUAACCGUAUAGGGGAGCCGCAGGGAAACCGAGUCUUAACUGGGCGUUAAGUUGCAGGGUAUAGACCCGAAACCCGGUGAUCUAGCCAUGGGCAGGUUGAAGGUUGGGUAACACUAACUGGAGGACCGAACCGACUAAUGUUGAAAAAUUAGCGGAUGACUUGUGGCUGGGGGUGAAAGGCCAAUCAAACCGGGAGAUAGCUGGUUCUCCCCGAAAGCUAUUUAGGUAGCGCCUCGUGAAUUCAUCUUCGGGGGUAGAGCACUGUUUCGGCUAGGGGGUCAUCCCGACUUACCAACCCGAUGCAAACUACGAAUACCG